UACGGGGGGAGCAAGCGUUGUUCGGAUUUACUGGGCGUAAAGGGCGCGUAGGCGGUCAGCACAAGUCAGUUGUGAAAUCUCCGGGCUUAACUCGGAAAGGUCAACUGAUACUGUGCGACUAGAGUGCAGAAGGGGCAACUGGAAUUCUCGGUGUAGCGGUGAAAUGCGCAGAUAUCAGGAGGAACACCGAUGGCGAAGGCAGGUCUCUGGGCUGACACUGACGCUCAUGCACGAAAGCGUGGGGAGCAAACAGG
Molecule: ribosomal RNA, 254 nt
Filed under: uncultured bacterium
Lineage: Bacteria
Description: partial 16S ribosomal RNA
Rfam family: Bacterial small subunit ribosomal RNA
Source: RNAcentral